RNAcentral lists this long non-coding RNA (810 nucleotides) under Monodelphis domestica (gray short-tailed opossum). RNAcentral describes it as "lncRNA (ENSMODG00000040084.1)". Lineage: Eukaryota; Metazoa; Chordata; Mammalia; Didelphimorphia; Didelphidae. The record is from RNAcentral.
UUUAGAUUAUCCUUUCCUGUAUCAUAGUACUUGGAUAAUAAUAAUGAUGAUUGAAUAAUACUAACAGACUUUAUAAUAUACUUUAAAAUGUGCAAAUUUUCAUAUAUAUUACAUGUAUAAUAUAUUAUUGCCUGAUCUAAUUUGAUCCUCACAACAAUCCUGUGAACUAUGAGAAUCAAGUGUUAUUAUUCCUGUUUCAUAGAUGAAAAAAUUGAGGAUGGAUUGCCCCUACCCUACGGCUCAGACCAAUGCUGUGCCCCUCCCUACCAACACAUACUAGCUCAUUUUUUGUUAGGUACUAUGAAGAGCCCUAGAAGUGACAGUACUUCUAGACCUCUGGUUGUUCCAGUCCUAAUAGUCAUUGUUACCUUGAAGAAGCAACUUUUGUGGGAAAGGGACCAGCCAUUCCUAUCAACUACCACCUAUAACAUAGGAAAUUUGUUAUUGUUUAUAAGGCAGUCUCAGUUCUGGGCUGCAAACCAGAAAGCAUCCAGGCAAGGUCAAGAUUAUAAACAACAACAACAACAAAAUAAGAACUUUCAAAACAAAUCUUAGAGAGCCUUGACUUUUCACUGAAUGAAUAUAUCUUUAGUUGAUUACUCUUCUGUAGACACCAGCAUUAUUCUGUGUAUGCUUUGUAUUUACUUUUCUGGAUCAUGUUAUAUGACUGUAGUUAAGCAUAAGAUCCUUGUUUUUCUUGUUGCUUCUAUCUUUAGCUUCUAGUCUUAUAGCUAGCUAUGCCUAGCAGAGAAUCUUAUACUCAACAGUCAUUUAAAUAAAUGAUUUUUAGAUUUAAUUGUAUCUUGGGAU